Termitomyces sp. Mi166#008 is the source of this 98-nucleotide non-coding RNA. The record is from the annotation of a GenBank genome assembly. NCBI's taxonomy places the organism in Eukaryota, Fungi, Basidiomycota, Agaricomycetes, Agaricales, Lyophyllaceae.
GGGUCGAUGGCGUAGUUGGUUAUCGCAUCUGUCUAACAUAGUUUCCGAAUAACACCUCUAUGCACAGAAGGUCCUCAGUUCGAACCUGAGUCGACUCA